This 1047-nucleotide ribosomal RNA is filed under the name Triticum aestivum (bread wheat). RNAcentral describes it as "partial small subunit ribosomal RNA". Lineage: Eukaryota; Viridiplantae; Streptophyta; Magnoliopsida; Poales; Poaceae. The record is from RNAcentral.
AUGAGGACGGCGUCGAUGUGCACCGCAUCUACUGUGCGGGGCACGCACACGUUCAAGAUCGCCGGCUUCAGCCUUCACAGGGGCCUCGGCGUCGGCAACUUCAUCCCGUCUGCCACCUUCGACAUCGGCGGCUACCUCUGGCGCGUACUGUUCUACCCCGAUGGGGAGAUGGAGAUGGAGAAUGGGGAUCACGCCUCCGUUUUCCUCGACCUUGUUAGCAAGGCCACCGAGGUGAGGGCGUUAUUCGAGGUCAGGUUGGUCGACCAGACUAACAAGCUGCCACCUUCGGUGGUGCUCUCCCAGAAGACGCCGUAUGUGUUCAACAACACUGAACAUAGCAACUCUGUGGGCGACGACUUCUUGCAACCAUUGGGGUACCUGCUUGACGACAGCCUUGUGCUUGAGUGCGAUGUCACGGUUCUGACGGAAUCCAAGGUGACCCUGACUGCGACCACCUUCGACAUCCAAGUGCCUCCCUCAGACUUGGGGGAGCAUUUCAGGGAAUUGCUAGAGAAGGAGGAGGAAGCAGAUGUCCUUUUUGAUGUUGAAGGGGUGGUUUUUCCCGCGCACAAAAUUGUGGUUGCAGGGCGCUCACCGGUCUUCAAAGCGCAGCUCUUUGGACCAAUGAGCGACAGGACAAGGCGGCACAUAACCAUUGAAGAUAUGCAGCCCGCUGUUUUCAGGGCGUUGCUUCACUUCAUCUACACAGAUUCGUUGCCUUCGAUGGAAAAACUUGAUGGAGAUGAGGGCAAAGAAAUGAUUAAGCACUUGCUUGUGGCUGCGGAUAGGUAUGCGAUGGAAAGGAUGAAGGUUAUGUGUGAGAGCAUCCUUUGCAAAAGUCUUGAUGUUGAGAAUGCCACUGCUACAUUGGCUCUAGCUGACCAGCAUCACUGCAGCAACCUCAGAGAUGCUUGCCUUGAGUUUAUCACUUCUCCGGAUAGAAUGGAUGAUGUCAUGGCAAGCCAAGGGUAUACUCACCUCAAAAGAUCCUGCCCUUCUAUUGUCAUAGAUGUCUUCGAGGGGGCAAAAAGGUCCCGCAAAAUCUAG